UUAGUGGCGGACGGGUGAGUAACGCGUGGAUAACCUGCCGUAUACCGGGGGAUAACACUUAGAAAUAGGUGCUAAUACCGCAUAAGCGCACGGCUCCGCAUGGGGCAGUGUGAAAAACUCCGGUGGUAUACGAUGGAUCCGCGUCUGAUUAGCUAGUUGGCAGGGUAACGGCCUACCAAGGCGACGAUCAGUAGCCGGCCUGAGAGGGUGUACGGCCACAUUGGGACUGAGACACGGCCCAAACUCCUACGGAAGGCAGCAG
This 262-nucleotide ribosomal RNA is filed under the name uncultured bacterium. RNAcentral's name for it is "partial 16S ribosomal RNA". It matches the Rfam family "Bacterial small subunit ribosomal RNA", at positions 92 to 354 of the family's 1533-position model. The record is from RNAcentral.